CCGGACGAAAGGGUAUAUUUUAAUCCUGACCGUUGAUCUUCGGUUGGAUGGCUGGCACGCCUUGGGUUGGAUGGCUAGCAGGCUUUCUCGGAAUGCAGGGUCGUCGUCCAGCCGGAGGUCGCCGGCGUUCGCGGUUUCUCGUUUCCGAGCACCGUUUCAAGAAAGAAAAACACCGCGAAGACGAGCAGCUCACCGCGAAGUCGACUGCGUCCUCGGUUCGGUCCGAAAGGGAGUAGGAGGAGCGCGCGGCGGUGGGGCUUGACUCAACCUCGGCGAGAUCCGAAACUCGCGAUUUAAGAAGAUAGGGCACGGCUUGGACGAUUUGGACGCGAAGAGAGAUGCGGGGCGGCUCAGGGGCUUUAUAGGUGUCUUAUGCGGCAAGUAAUCCCGUCCAAAUCGGGAUUGAUUCGCUCGGAUUUUCUUCGGCGGUGUCCUGCUCAGGUACGCACGUUGGGGAAGAAAAGAACACGCUGACGUGUGGGCCCCAGUGAUCAGUGAGCCAAGGAAGAGAAGAGAGGAGGGGCACGCUGCGGCCUGGAAAGGAGUGGGCCGGGCUGGGGAAACUGGGCCGGGAAGGAAACAGGGAAAGCUGGGCUUCGGCUGGUUUUCCAAGGGGGUUUUCCUUUUUUUUUUUUUUUUUUCAAAGCCAUUUUCAAAACUGUUUUUUUUAAAAAAAACCACUUUGAAUUAUUUUUUAACUUUAGUAAAACCAAUCAUCUCAAUAAAUCAUAUGCACGAGCAUGAAGACACAUCAAUGUUACUAAUCCUAUGAUAAGUUUUAUUUUAACGAAAAGUAUUAUUUUUCUAUGUUUAAUGAGCACAAAAAUACAAAAUUAAAUCAUUUUUCACCUAUUUCAAAAGUUGCAAAUUUUUGGGUGUUACAACAUUGUAUUUACGUAAUAAAAAUAUAGUUAAGUUGGUAUUAAUAAAUUAACAUUCAUUAUAAAAUAGUUGUGUAGAACCUAUAUUAAUUUUAAUUAGAACCUAGUUGCAUAAACAUUAUCCACAUUAUUUUUUAAUUAUAAACACAGAAAUAUGUGACCUAAGUAAUGUGGCUACAAGGCUACAUAUUAUAUUACUACGAACGGAAAGGAAAACGAAGAAACUAGUUUAGAUCUAAAACGAUUAGCUACAAAGGAUUAAAGGUUGAGAGUACGAUGAUCCCAUGUCUAUGUUGAGAUCAGUAAGUCUAUGCGCACAGUGUAAAAUACUAUUUCUUGAAUUGAGAUGUAAAGAAGAAAGAUGAUUUAUUUUGCAAGAAUAACAUAGGCAUGAUAUCAGCAUCAACGCUUAGAUCAAUGAAGAAAUUGACAAGUGUUGGGCAUUCUUAACGUCAUUACUAAAAGUAGACUUAGUUUUCUAAUUCUGAUAACGACGACAAAAAUGCCGAACCUAUCCCUCAUGCCACUUAAGCCAAGUUGUCAUCCCUAGCGUAACAUGAAAGACGCGGUAUUGAAAUAUGCAUUUGCUCAUCAAGAUAAAUAAUAAAAGGGGUGUAACACCCAAAAAAUUUGCUUUCAAAUUAAUAGGAUUUAAUUUGAUUUAAUUAAGCAUUUUCGGUGGGCAUUUAAUCUAGUAAAUAAAAUAUUUUUUUGUCGAAAUUAAAAUUCAUCAUAGGUUUAGCAAAGUUGAUUAUUGCAUUCAUGCUGGAGCA
This 1654-nucleotide long non-coding RNA is filed under the name Sorghum bicolor (sorghum). RNAcentral describes it as "long non-coding RNA (SBIC_LNC010191)". Lineage: Eukaryota; Viridiplantae; Streptophyta; Magnoliopsida; Poales; Poaceae. The record is from RNAcentral.